AAAGAGCACCCAAAUACAUGAAUUUUCGUAGAGAAAACAGCAUAUCACCAACAGAGCAUAAUACAAAAUUGGAAAUUAAUCAAAACUUCUAAUCACUUACAGAUUGAAGAAG
This is a non-coding RNA of Bos taurus (domestic cattle), 112 nucleotides long. NCBI's taxonomy places the organism in Eukaryota, Metazoa, Chordata, Mammalia, Artiodactyla, Bovidae. The record is from Rfam.